CAGCCUCAGGACUAUGGGCCAUGCAAAAAGGCUCAUAAAAUACCUUGCCUUUUUGCUAUUCUGUUCGGUAGAUUGCAUUCCCCUCCUAUUCUAACAUUGUCCUGUUCGACUACCGCAUGAACCAGGGAACAUCCGGGAGCUUGUUAACACCUUGGAAUGGUUCUUACUGCAGUGUUCUAAUUGUUUGUCUGGGUGGCUGCAAUUUCUAUGAAUAACCACAAGGUGGCAGCCAUCUUGUUUGGGUAUGAAUCUCAUGGAACUAAAAUCGGACACAGAAACUCCCAAAAAACCACUGGGCUUCCAUCAUUGCCUGCAUUUGGCUCUAUACACUUUAGAAGGGCACUGUUCUGUAAAAUCGUUCGUCUGAAUGAGGGGAACAAGCUCCAGGGUAAGAACAUUGACUAUGUUCGGUAGUUUGUUCGUUUUUCAAACUACUGAACUAGACCAACCGCAAACCCUGAUUCUAUGGAACAGUUUUAGGCAUGGGACAAUGUGUGCGGUCGGUCAAAUAAAUGAAAUUCCUGAACCCCUGAACUGAUCUGGGUGAUUUUUGGAUAUGUUGG
This is a non-coding RNA of Pelobates cultripes (western spadefoot toad), 563 nucleotides long. The record is from the annotation of a GenBank genome assembly. NCBI's taxonomy places the organism in Eukaryota, Metazoa, Chordata, Amphibia, Anura, Pelobatidae.